Non-coding RNA from Schizosaccharomyces pombe (fission yeast), 1131 nucleotides. Lineage: Eukaryota; Fungi; Ascomycota; Schizosaccharomycetes; Schizosaccharomycetales; Schizosaccharomycetaceae. The record is from the annotation of a GenBank genome assembly.
UUUGAAGAGAUUCUCUAGUUUCCGAGUAUAUAUCUUCCUUUCCAAUUUUAUCCUCUAGAAAAGUUAGACCAGCAGUUAUAAGUUCUAUUAAUUUUUUCCGAAAAGCGUCAGCACUUUUCCUUUCAGGAGAAAUGCCCUCUGCGGUAUUAUUUUUCUUUUUCUUAUACGAUUUUUUGUUACCACUUUGUCUCUGCAAAAAUUCUAAAAUACUUUCAUCUCUCUCCAUUCUUGCGAUAAAAAACGAUAACGCUUCAGGAACCGUGGAAAAAGGCAGUUUACUAAAUUCUUCCAAUUCUUGAUUCCUUCUUCUGUUUUCCAUUUCCUUACGCUUCUGCUCCGCUUCUCUGGCUGCUGCAAUGCUUUUUUUAUUAGAAACACUGCCAUUGAGCCAUGCAUCAUACUGAGACUCUGGGUCAUAAUUUUUUCGUAUGAAAUUACCAUUUUCGUCAAAAUCACCCUCCUCCAUAUCUUCUUUUAAGUUAAAGGACAUUCGUUUUGGGCUUGAGGGAACUGAUAUCUCACUGCCUUCUUCAUCCGCGUCGAGGUCGUUAGCCUGAUUUGUAUCUUCUUGGCCUUCUAUAUCUUCAUAUCUUAACUUUGAAUACUUUCCGUUAUCGUCCUCAUCAUCAGAAUCGUCGUUCAAAACCUCUUUAUUUCGCAAACCUUUAUGUGCUAAUCUUUCAGCAUCGCCAUUUUCAAUGAAAUCACGUCGCUUUUGCGCUUCAUCAUUUGGCAGAGUACGCUUCUCAUCUUCCGAAGUAUCAGAAAACAUAUCUUCCGAUUGCCCUUCCUUCUUCUCUUUAUUCAGAAUUUGGUCUUCAUCUUCUUCAGAUUCAGAUUCAUAAUAUCCUGUGAAUUGAAUGUUAGACAGAAAUCAACAAAUGAAUUUGCAUACCCUCUUCUUUUGUCCUAGGACGUUUUCUCCCUACAUUGCUUACAUCGUAUUCAAAAAAAACAUCGUGAACAUCACCCACUGUACUCGAAUUGCCAGGGUUUCUGAGCGUACGCUUCAUUGUUCACACAAAAUGUAGUUGCAAUUGCGAACUCGUUAUGAGUGCAAGAUUAUUAAGUGUUAAAUCUGAAACAAUAGAAAAAAUAAAAUGAUUAUACAAAAAUAAAUAUUACCAAAAA